RNAcentral lists this ribosomal RNA (557 nucleotides) under Apteryx australis (Southern brown kiwi). RNAcentral's name for it is "partial 12S ribosomal RNA". It matches the Rfam family "Bacterial small subunit ribosomal RNA", at positions 9 to 925 of the family's 1533-position model. The record is from RNAcentral. Lineage: Eukaryota; Metazoa; Chordata; Aves; Apterygiformes; Apterygidae.
AAAGACUUAGUCCUAACCUUACUGUUAACUCUCGCUAAACAUAUACAUGCAAGUAUCUGCGUUCCAGUGUAAAUGCCCUUAACGUCUUCUUUCUCCAGACAAAAGGAGCAGGUAUCAGGCACACUCUUCAUCGUAGCCCAAAACACCUUGCUUAGCCACACCCCCACGGGUACUCAGCAGUAAUUAACAUUAAGCAAUAAGUGUAAACUUGACUUAGUUAUAGCGGCUAGAGGGUUGGUAAAUCUUGUGCCAGCCACCGCGGUCACACAAGAAACCCAAGCUAACAGUGACCGGCGUAAAGUGUGGUAACAUGUUAUCGAAAUAACUAAGACCAAGACACAACUAAGCUGUCAUAAGCCUAAGAUGCACUUAAACCCCCCAUAAAAAUGAUCUUAGUACCUACGACCAAUUUAAAUCCACGAAAGCUAAGACACAAACUGGGAUUAGAUACCCCACUAUGCUUAGCCCUAAAUCCUGGUGCUUGCAUUACCCAAGUACCCGCCCGAGAACUACGAGCACAAACGCUUAAAACUCUAAGGACUUGGCGGUGCCCUAAA